GACGAACGCUGGCGGCGUGCUUAACACAUGCCAGUCGAACGGAAAGGCCCUGCUUUUGUGGGGUGCUCGAGUGGCGAACGGGUGAGUAACACGUGAGUAACCUGCCCUUGACUUUGGGAUAACUUCAGGAAACUGGGGCUCAUAUCGGAUAGGAGCUCCUGCUGCAUGGUGGGGGUUGGAAAGUUUCGGCGGUUGGGGAUGGACUCGCGGCUUAUCCGCUUGUUGGUGGGGUAGUGGCUUACCAAGGCUUUGACGGGUAGCCGGCCUGGGAGGGUGACCGGCCACAUUGGGACUGAGAUACGGCCCAGACUCCUACGGGAGGCAGCAGUGGGGAAUAUUGCACAAUGGGCGGAAGCCUGAUGCAGCAACGCCGCGUGCGGGAUGACGGCCUUCGGGUUGUAAACCGCUUUCGCCUGUGACGAGGCGUGAGUGACGGUAAUGGGUAAAGAAGCACCGGCUAACUACGUG
Molecule: ribosomal RNA, 468 nt
Filed under: uncultured bacterium
Lineage: Bacteria
Description: partial 16S ribosomal RNA
Rfam family: Bacterial small subunit ribosomal RNA
Source: RNAcentral